UAGAGUUUGAUCAUGGCUCAGGACGAACGCUGGCGGCGUGCUUAACACAUGCAAGUCGAACGAUGAAGCCGCUUCGGUGGUGGAUUAGUGGCGAACGGGUGAGUAACACGUGGGCAAUCUGCCCUGCACUCUGGGACAAGCCCUGGAAACGGGGUCUAAUACCGGAUAUGACCUGGUGAGGCAUCUCAUCGGGUGGAAAGCUCCGGCGGUGCAGGAUGAGCCCGCGGCCUAUCAGCUUGUUGGUGGGGUGAUGGCCUACCAAGGCGACGACGGGUAGCCGGCCUGAGAGGGCGACCGGCCACACUGGGACUGAGACACGGUCCAGACUCCUACGGGAGGCAGCAGUGGGGAAUCUUGCGCAAUGGACGAAAGUCUGACGCAGCCACGCCGCGUGAGUGAAGAAGGCCUUCGGGUUGUAAAGCUCUGUCGGAGGGGACGAAAAUACUUACGGUGAAUAGCCGUAGGAGUUGACGGUACCCUCAAAGGAAGUACCGGCUAACUUCGUGCCAGCAGCCGCGGUAAU
Molecule: ribosomal RNA, 523 nt
Filed under: uncultured bacterium
Lineage: Bacteria
Description: bacterial SSU rRNA
Rfam family: Bacterial small subunit ribosomal RNA
Source: RNAcentral